GACGAACGCUGGCGGCGUGCUUAACACAUGCAAGUCGAACGGUAAGGCCCUUCGGGGUACACGAGUGGCGAACGGGUGAGUAACACGUGGGUGAUCUGCCCUGCACUUCGGGAUCAGCCUGGGAAACUGGGUCUAAUACCGGAUAGGACCACUGCCUGCAUGGGCGGUGGUGGAAAGCUUUUGCGGUGUGGGAUGGGCCCGCGGCCUAUCAGCUUGUUGGUGGGGUGAUGGCCUACCAAGGCGACGACGGGUAGCCGGCCUGAGAGGGUGACCGGCCACACUGGGACUGAGAUACGGCCCAGACUCCUAUGGGAGGCAGCAGUGGGGAAUAUUGCACAAUGGGCGCAAGCCUGAUGCAGCGACGCCGCGUGAGGGAUGACGGCCUUCGGGUUGUAAACCUCUUUCAGCACCGACGAAGCGCAAGUGACGGUAGGUGCAGAAGAAGGACCGGCCAACUACGUGCCAGCCGCCGCAGUAA
RNAcentral lists this ribosomal RNA (478 nucleotides) under uncultured bacterium. Its description in RNAcentral is "partial 16S ribosomal RNA". It matches the Rfam family "Bacterial small subunit ribosomal RNA", at positions 28 to 523 of the family's 1533-position model. The record is from RNAcentral.